GAGGCACGAAAGCGUGGGGAGCAAACAGGAUUAGAUACCCUGGUAGUCCACGCUGUAAACGAUGAGUACUAGGUGUCGGGGGUUACCCCCUUCGGGGCCGCAGCUAACGCAUUAAGUACUCCGCCUGGGAAGUACGCUCGCAAGAGGGAAACUCAAAGGAAUUGACGGGGACCCGCACAAGUAGCGGAGCAUGUGGUUUAAUUCGAAGCAACGCGAAGAACCUUACCUAAGCUUGACAUCCCAAUGACAUCUCCUUAAUCGGAGAGUUCCCUUCGGGGAC
RNAcentral lists this ribosomal RNA (280 nucleotides) under Clostridioides difficile. RNAcentral's name for it is "partial 16S ribosomal RNA". It matches the Rfam family "Bacterial small subunit ribosomal RNA", at positions 748 to 1027 of the family's 1533-position model. The record is from RNAcentral. Lineage: Bacteria; Bacillati; Bacillota; Clostridia; Peptostreptococcales; Peptostreptococcaceae.